This 764-nucleotide long non-coding RNA is filed under the name Solanum tuberosum (potato). RNAcentral describes it as "long non-coding RNA (STUB_LNC008666)". Lineage: Eukaryota; Viridiplantae; Streptophyta; Magnoliopsida; Solanales; Solanaceae. The record is from RNAcentral.
AAACCUGUAUCAUGUUGUUUGUCUUCCUUUCUUCUAGAUUUUGAAGGCCAUGGGACAGGCAAAGACUUCAUCUGCAGCAGUGAAUCUCCUCAUAGAUAUUGGGUAUUUUCCUGUACAUGUAAAUCUCGAUUUGUUAAAGUUGAACCUCCCUACUGAUCAUCGGGAUGAGAUUCUGUCGGCCGCAGAGAAUCUUUUGUCUACAUCGACUGACCUUGAUGAGGUAUUGUUGCCUUUAAGAUUUCUACUUGUGACAUCAACGUAUGUAUCUAUAUUUUUGCCAUUCUGGCCAUACUAUUUUGCCUCUGGACUGGGGUGUUACAGAUUGAGUGUGGAUUCCUCUGAGUCUAGCUUUUUAUUGCAUUUUGUAAAAUUCCAAAUUCUUCUUAUUUCAUGUUUCUUUUGUACUUUUGGUGGAAGCAAAAGUUCCAUUUUUUAUUCGUCUCUUUGCCUAUCUGUCAACAGCAAAGGUGUUACAUGCUGAUUAAAAAGUUUGUGUGCGCGCACAGAUACACAGGGGGGGGGGGGGGGGGGGGGAUGUGACCACAACAACAUCCCCAGUCGAUUUGUUAAAGUUGAACCUCCCUACUGAUCAUCGGGAUGAGAUUCUGUCGGCCGCAGAGAAUCUUUUGUCUACAUCGACUGACCUUGAUGAGGUAUUGUUGCCUUUAAGAUUUCUACUUGUGACAUCAACGUAUGUAUCUAUAUUUUUGCCAUUCUGGCCAUACUAUUUUGCCUCUGGACUGGGGUGUUACAGAUUGAGUGUG